AGGUCGGAGGUUAGAUUCCCCCCUACUGCU
Molecule: transfer RNA, 30 nt
Filed under: Cnesterodon decemmaculatus
Lineage: Eukaryota; Metazoa; Chordata; Actinopteri; Cyprinodontiformes; Poeciliidae
Description: partial tRNA-Thr
Source: RNAcentral